GGACUAAAGAUGGCUUUUUGCCAUAAUUAUAUAUAGCAAGAGAAGUAAAUUUAAAUCAUCAAAACCUCAUUUCUUCAGCUAAAAAUAGAACAGCCCGUAUGUCUCCUUCAAUCCCAAAUCACAAAAACUUCAAAACUCCAUAUCUUCUUCGUUUUUCAACGGAAUUGAGCGAUUCUUACAAUCACAAAACGAGGAGGAGGAGCUCUACUGAUCUAACUCUAUAAUUUGAGGCUUGCUACGGGUUACGGAGCUACCACUCCAAUUUUCUAGCGCCGGUCUCGACUCUAAAUUCCGGGUCGUGACACUGAGAACAGGAUGGCGGCGAUGUUUUCCGGCAGAAGAGACGUUUUCCGGCGACGGUUUCAGUUGGAUUAGGUGUAAGUAAUUAGUUAUCAUAAUUAAAUUUAAUUAGUGUUAGUUGUGUUUAAUUAAUGUUGAUUGUAUUUAAUUAGUUAUAAUUUUUAAAUUUAGCAAUCUCAAUCUCUUUUUAGGGUGUUUUUGUGUCAGAGGGGCUAAUUAAAGCUAAAAACGCAAAUUGCGGGUUGAUUUGUAACAAAAGCAGUGAGAAUGAUUUAUUUGAUAUUUUGUGUCAAAUUGAGGGGGUGAAUUGAUCCUU
Mercurialis annua (annual mercury) is the source of this 616-nucleotide long non-coding RNA. RefSeq lists it as uncharacterized. The record is from RefSeq and is a predicted model, not a curated record. The transcript has 2 exons. Lineage: Eukaryota; Viridiplantae; Streptophyta; Magnoliopsida; Malpighiales; Euphorbiaceae.